UACGUAGGGUGCAAGCGUUAAUCGGAAUUACUGGGCGUAAAGGGUGCGCAGGCGGUUCUGUAAGUCAGAUGUGAAAUCCCCGGGCUUAACCUGGGAACUGCGUUUGAAACUACAGGACUAGAGUGUAGCAGAGGGAGGUGGAAUUCCAUGUGUAGCAGUGAAAUGCGUAGAGAUAUGGAAGAACAUCGAUGGCGAAGGCAGCCUCCUGGGUUAACACUGACGCUCAUGCACGAAAGCGUGGGGAGCAAACAGGAUUAGAAACCCCUGUAGUCC
This 273-nucleotide ribosomal RNA is filed under the name uncultured Nitrosomonas sp. RNAcentral's name for it is "partial 16S ribosomal RNA". It matches the Rfam family "Bacterial small subunit ribosomal RNA", at positions 524 to 796 of the family's 1533-position model. The record is from RNAcentral. Lineage: Bacteria; Pseudomonadati; Pseudomonadota; Betaproteobacteria; Nitrosomonadales; Nitrosomonadaceae.